AGAGUAAUGUCCUGCGAGCAGAAGAUGCACUUGAGGAUACUUCAGUCCUGGCAGCCAAAGGUUUCACCAAUAUUGCUUCACUGAGGACAGAAAAUUCGGCAGUAGCUGACUUACAGGGUUCCCAAAAGACUAUUUUAUUCCAAAUCUAAAGGUGUAAGAACUUUCACUUUUAAACCACGGUGCCAGGUAGUCGGAGUGAAAGAUGUUAUAAACACAGCAUUUACUUAUCUGGAUUCCUUGGAUUUCUCUGUCGCUGUUUAUAAUGGGAUAAUCUGGUGCUCAAAAAAAUGUAAAAAAGUCUUUGCAGAAAGCAGUAGAAAGACAUUUCAUGUUCCUUUUUACUGAUUACUUUUGCUUGAUGCUAGGAAACAAUUAUUUUAAGUGGAUUACUUCCAAAGAAUAACUUAAUUUGAUAAUAAAACAAAUACUACUUUCCCAUUUAUUGAUGAAUCAAGCAAGGUAAUUGGAUUUAUUACUUCUGAAUCUAUGAGUAAUCCUGUUUCCAAAUCACAUAUGUGUUUCCUCCUCUGCUUUUAUGUUCAUCAGGAGAUGACACUUAUUUAUUCCUUUUUCUUGUUGGCAGAAAUUCACUUUUUUGAAUCAGGACAGCAAUGGUCUUAUGCACUGCUUCUGAGCUCAAAAUAGAGCUAAUUUAUACUUAUGCAGUAUACAUCCUUGCUGGAGAAAAAUGAGCUUCAGUCAUUCUGAGUAGCUAAAAAUACAAGUUAAUUAAAAACAUAUCUCGCAUUAAUAUCUAUAAUAUGCAUGGUAACAGUGAAGUAGAUAUUACGAUGUUAUGAUGUUGCUUCACAGAAGGCCUGGAAGCUGAGAGGGCUCUGGAAUGUAUAUCCCAGCCUGGGUACAAGGAGGGACCAUGGAGAAUGACUGCUGCUUCUCGAAGGGACUUCCCAGCGCUGAACUGCAGAGCUCCAGGCCACCGGGUGACGCAACCUGUCUCUCCCCUUUGGUGGCAGCCAUCACAGCCAAGUUCAACGGCCAAGUGACACAGCCAGGUACUGGCAGGAAUAAAGUUGGGAGUGGGAUCAUUUCCCACUCCUCCUGAUCCAUCUGCUGUUUAAACGAUGGUUUAUGUAUCUAUGAGCAGCUUU
Molecule: long non-coding RNA, 1109 nt
Filed under: Calidris pygmaea (Spoon-billed sandpiper)
Lineage: Eukaryota; Metazoa; Chordata; Aves; Charadriiformes; Scolopacidae
Description: lncRNA (ENSCPGG00000005878.1)
Source: RNAcentral